This 684-nucleotide long non-coding RNA is filed under the name Mus musculus (house mouse). RNAcentral's name for it is "Dppa2 upstream binding RNA". The record is from RNAcentral. Lineage: Eukaryota; Metazoa; Chordata; Mammalia; Rodentia; Muridae.
GCGCUUCUAGCAAAGUUGCAAAGCAACGGGCAGACCUGUCAGAACGGUGAAGAUCCCGGCGAUGGAAAAAAGGCGAAACUGCUCCGCGUAGGCUGCUCGGAGUGGCAUCGCACCUUGUUCGAGUCCGAAGAAGUUCCCGCUUCUCUAAGCCGGCUGAAGGGAUGCGAGUCUCCUCUUGUCCCAACGGGACUGUGUCCUGACACAGAGUGGACUCCGCCCCAAGAGUGCGAGCGUCCUGAGCGUUCAGGGCAUCCUGAGCCGCGGAAGGCAUCCGGCCACACCCCGCUCUUUACCCGCCAACGCCAGCCCAGGUGGCCAGGCUCAGAAUGGACUGUGAGCCUGUGUGUUAUGCAUCUCUGGUUGUAGAGACAAAAGGACAAAGAUGGAACCCACCAAGGAUGCUCCCGGCUGAAUGAAUUGUUGUUCUCUGGCUUACACAAAGUCAAGCGAAUGAUCGUCCCAUGUUAUGGAACCUGCUUGGUACUGCCACAUCAGAGAAGCCUCGGGUAAGGAGACUGGAUGCUUGGAAUCAUGGAUACUCAGAGCACUGUUAACAAAGAGCAGAGUCCAGUCUUCCAGAGUCAUGACCUGAAUCCAAAGUUGAAAAGAUCUGAGCAGUGUAUAAACAGCCUGUCAUAACCUGCAUAAUACAUUUUUAGUCCUGAAUAAAUCUAUUCACACUUC